GUUGUAAUUACACAGUUCUAACAGAUCAACGCACAGGUGUGCAUUGUAUAGUCGAAAGAUCUUGGUACGUAUACAGAAAUGAUCGACAAAAGUUUAGCUGUGACCGCGGCAAUUUUCGCCAUGCUUCUGGUCCUGUGUAACAGUCAUAGAGCCCAUGGACCAAAUAUAGACCACAAACACCCAACAAAUGCUGAAGAUCCAGAAUAUAUUCGUGAUAAAGACCACAUUAAGGAGCAUUAUAAGGGUAAAGUAGACACCGAUACUAGCAAUAUGGCAGAAGAAGAAAUGGAACAUCAUUU
Long non-coding RNA from Lingula anatina, 299 nucleotides. The record is from RefSeq and is a predicted model, not a curated record. Lineage: Eukaryota; Metazoa; Brachiopoda; Lingulata; Lingulida; Lingulidae.